UGUUUCUGGCCGCACCUUAGCCAAGGCCCAUUGAUUCAGAACCUCUGGGGUUGGGUCCUGGACAUCCUGUGUCUUCAUCUUAUGUCCUUGAAUGACUCUCACAUCGUGCCUAAUAUCACCAGCCUGUAUGCUGUUAAAUGAUGAGUGAGCUCUGCCAGGGCUGGCACACUGUAGGGACUUCGUGGAGCCUGAACACCUCCCCUUCUUCUGCAAUACUCAGGUGUCUGCUCUGUCUGCAUCUCUCUUCACCUGCUUUAUGGAAAGUGCAUGGGAUGUGACCUUGAGCAGCUGUCUCCAAAGCAGGACCACCGUGGGGCCCUGAAGCAGCCCCAGAUGUGCUAGAUGAGCCCCUGGAGAAAAGCCUUAUGGGACUGGCCUGGAAAAAACUGACAGCGACAGCUUUGUAAACAAAUGAUGCACAUGUCCUGGAUGGCCCACUGGAGGAGCAAUGAAGAAAUAAAUCCCGAAGGCCUGUAGGAUUUCCAUCUUGCCUUCCCUAGCAGACAAGUGGCAGCCGGCCUGGCUGGACCCCAGAAUCCAAACGAGUCUGAGAAGGCAGAACCCUCUGGGUCCCACAGCGGGAGCUAGAACGGUGAACAACUUUAGCAGAGAAACCCGAGCUAAAAUGGGUUAAAAGAUCUGCUUUUUUGCCUCUCCUUCAGCUUCCAGUUCUUCUUUCCCUCCCUCACCAUCUCACCCUCUUUUCCUGCCUCCCGAUGAAAAAUCUGCUCCGGCUUAAUAGAAUUACUCCCGGAGCCAUCAAUGCAAACGCUGUUUCAGGGCAAUCUCAUUCGAACAAAUGUAUUUUUAUUUGAACAGUGUUACUUGAAAAAUUAAAUCGCGUAUCUGUUCCCUUUUCCCUCCCCGCCCCCUCCAGCCACGGGGCCCUCACCACGGGGGUGGGGCAGGAAAGCCGGGCAGAGCUGAACAUUUAAAAAAUGAAUUUGAUCUGAUUUAAUGAUUCCUCUCUGCAUUAAUUAACAGUGAAACCAGCCAAUAUGUUGUGUCAAUCACAGGCGUAUCCACAGGCAUCCAUUUUAUUUUUGGAGUCAACUGAAUGUAUCGCUCUGCUGCUUAUUGUCUGAAAAGUUCAGCGCUGGGCUGGAGACUGGCUGGUGGGCAGCCGGACUGGGCAGGCCUCAGGAGUGAGAAGGGCCCCAGGGAGGGUGGAACCCAGGAGGCCGGAGUUUGAAUUCCGCCGAGAACACACAGCAACUGCUUGAUUUGGGGCAAGUCCUGCCACCUCUUUCUGCCUCACUUUCCCUCUCUGUAAACUGGGGAUCAUAAUUUAAGUCUUAAGAAGUCUGUGAACAUGAACUGACCGCCGCUGCUAGCAGGGAGCUUUCCAGAGGUAAGGAGAGUAAGAUGGUGUAAUUUCCGGCUUCUCGGAGGUCAGAGAUGGAUUUCUGCCCAGUCACCUCAACAGCCUUUGUACCUCAGUCAGGGCCCUUCUCCUGGGCGUGCAUUUGUACAUGGCCUGCCCUCUCAGGACCUCCCCUAAGCUCUAUUACAUUGUUGCCCCCACCUCAAAAUUCUUAAUCACUUUACCUUCAUGUUUUGUGGUGGUUAUGACAAGGAGGGUCUCCCUGGUGUCACAAGGGGUUAAACACAACCUAUGAAGCUACUCGCAGCCACUACUUCACGAGUUUGAUCCCCAGUCAGGGAGCUACCCACAUGGCGCAGCAGACCUCUCCUGUCUCACCCGCUGUUCCCCUCAGCAGAGUAUUUCAGUUGAUCUUCCUGUUCUGCUCCCCACCCUGUCUCUGGUGAGUCAUCUCACCCCACACACACCUCUGGCCUACACCCCGGUUCUUGUAUGCAUAAAUAAAUAAAUCUUUAAAAAAAGAA
Talpa occidentalis (Iberian mole) is the source of this 1848-nucleotide long non-coding RNA. RefSeq lists it as uncharacterized. NCBI's taxonomy places the organism in Eukaryota, Metazoa, Chordata, Mammalia, Eulipotyphla, Talpidae. The record is from RefSeq and is a predicted model, not a curated record. The transcript has 3 exons.